RNAcentral lists this ribosomal RNA (439 nucleotides) under uncultured bacterium. Its description in RNAcentral is "bacterial SSU rRNA". It matches the Rfam family "Bacterial small subunit ribosomal RNA", at positions 28 to 479 of the family's 1533-position model. The record is from RNAcentral.
GACGAACGCUGGCGGCGUGCUUAACACAUGCAAGUCACGGGGGCUCGCAAGAGCAACCGGCGAACGGGUGCGUAACACGUGAGCAACCUGCCUUAGUGUGGGGGAUAGCCGGCCCAACGGCCGGGUAAUACCGCAUACGAUCUCGAAGAGGAGUCUCUUUGAGAGGAAACCUCCGGGGCACUAAGAGGGGCUCGCGGCCUAUCAGCUAGUUGGCGGUGUAAUGGACCACCAAGGCGACGACGGGUAGCUGGUCUGAGAGGAUGGCCAGCCACAUUGGGACUGAGAGACGGCCCAGACUCCUACGGGAGGCAGCAGUGGGGAAUCUUGCGCAAUGGCCGAAAGGCUGACGCAGCGACGCCGCGUGUGGGAUGAAGCAUUUCGGUGUGUAAACCACUGUUGCCCGGGACGAAACCGCCUAUUCGUGGGCGUUGACGGUGCC